UCCUGUUCCUGUCCGGCUGAGGGGACUGGGACGUGUGGGUAAGCGCAGUCGCUGGGUAAUGCGCCAUGUGACGCGCUGUGGGACUGUAGUUCCUGGACCAACGCCGAGACUUCCUAAAUCCCUCCGGAAAGGGAUGCGUUGGGCCUGUGAUCUGGCGACUGGGAGGGUCAGGAGUCCCAGUAGAGGAAACCACGGGAAAAGAAUGAAAGAGGGAGGCGAGCCUGGCACGGCUUCCUGGAGAAACAAACUAAGCUAACAAAUUUUUCGGAUCCUUUGUGCAGCUAAUUUUACAGUGCUGUUUCAUACAUGUUAUUAUAUUUGGACAUCACGGUCUGUUGAGUGGUCUCCCUCUCUACUGCAAGCUCUGCUGUAAUCCAGAGACACUCAAUUAUCUCUGUAGGAUAAUUUAUUCAUUCGAUUAACAUACAUUACUACGAGCUUUUUAUAAACCAGUACUGUUCCAAGCACCAGAGAUACAUAGCUAUGAACGAAACAAAUAUCCCUGCUCAGGAAAUUCACAAUAGAGUGAGGGGAAAUAAGCGAAUAAACAAUGAAUCUCUUGUUCUGAGGGAAGCCAUGUACAUCAUUAGCCGUUCUAUAAAGAGGAUCACAUGGCAAGAAACUGAAGCAUUCUGCCAGCAGCCCUGUGAAUGAACUUGGAAGUAGACCCUCCAGCCCUAAUCAAGUCUUCAGAGACUGUACUCAGCCAACAAUUGACUGCAACCUCAUAAGAGACCCUGAGCCAGAUCGCCCAACCAGAAACUGUACUAUGGAAAUUAUGUUAGACAAAAAACAAAUGUAAGCAGUUUUCUUAUUCAAGUUCAAAAUGGGCUGCAAAGCAGCAGAGACAACUUGCAACAUCAAGAACACAUUUGGCCCAGGAACUGCUAAUGAACGUACAGUGCAGUGGUGGUUCAAGAAGUUUUGCAAAGGAUGGCCAGGUGCAGCAGCUCACACCUGUAAUCCCAGCACUUUGGGAGGCCAAGGCAUCCAGAACACUUGAGGUCAGGAGUUCGAGACCAGCCAGGCCAACAUGGUGAAACCCCAUCUCUACUAAAAAUAAAAAAAUUAGCUGGGCAUGGUGGCAUGCACCUGUAAUCCCAGCUACUCGGGAGGCUGAGGUGGGAGAAGCGCUUGAACCCGGGAGGCAGAGGUUGCAGUGAGCCGAGAUUGUGCCACGGCACUCCAGUGACAGAACAAGACUCCGUCUCAAUUUAAAAGAAAAAAAGAAAGAAAGUUUUGCAAAGGAGCUGAGAGCCUUGAAGAUGAUGAGCAUAGUGACCGGCCAUGGGAAGUUGACAACGACCAGUUGAGAGCAAUCAUUGAAGCUGAUCCUCUUAUAGCUACAUGAGAAGUUCCCUAAGAACUCAAUGUUGACCAUUCUAUGGUCACUCAGCAUUUGAAGCAAAUUGGAAAAGUAAAAAAGCUCGAUAAGUGGGUGCCUCAUGAGCCAACUGAAAAUAAAAAAAAAUAUUGUUUUGAAAUGUUGUCUUCUCUUAUUCUACACAACAAUGAACCAUUUCUCGAUCAGAUUGAGAUGUGCUAUGAAAAGUAGAUUUUAUACAACAGCUGGCAAUGACCAGCUCAAUGGUUGGGCCCAGAAGAAGCUCCACAGCACUUCCCAAAGCACCAAAAACAGGUCAUGGUCACCGUUUGGUGGUCUGCUGCCAGUCUGAUCCACUACGGCUUUCCGAAUCCUGGUGAAACCAUUACAUCUGAGAAGUAUGCUUAGCAAAUCAAUGAGGCACUGAAAAGUGCCACACCUGCAGCUGACAGUGGUCAACAGAAAGGACCCAAUUCUUCUCCACAACUACAAUGGCCGACUGCAUGUUGCACAACCAACCCUUCAAAAGUUGAACAAAUUGAUCUAUGAAGUUUUGCCUCAUCCACCAUAUUCAUCUGACCUGUGGCCAACCAACUACCACUUCUUCAAGCAUCUCAACAACUUUUUGCAGAGAAAACACUUCUACAACCAACAGGAUGCAGAAAAUGCUUUUUAAGAGUUCGGCGAAUCCGGAAGCACAGCUUUUUACACUACAGGAAUAAAUGAACUUAUUUCUGAUUGGCAAAAAGGUGUUGAUUGUAAUGGUUCCUAUUUUGAUUAAUAAAAAUGUAUUUGAGCC
Pongo pygmaeus (Bornean orangutan) is the source of this 2123-nucleotide long non-coding RNA. RefSeq lists it as uncharacterized. Lineage: Eukaryota; Metazoa; Chordata; Mammalia; Primates; Hominidae. The record is from RefSeq and is a predicted model, not a curated record. The transcript has 3 exons.